AGAGUUUGAUCAUGGCUCAGGACGAACGCUGGCGGCGUGCCUAAUACAUGCAAGUAGAACGCUGAAGAGAGGAGCUUGCUCUUCUUGGAUGAGUUGCGAACGGGUGAGUAACGCGUAGGUAACCUGCCUUGUAGCGGGGGAUAACUAUUGGAAACGAUAGCUAAUACCGCAUAACAAUGGAUGACACAUGUCAUUUAUUUGAAAGGGGCAAUUGCUCCACUACAAGAUGGACCUGCGUUGUAUUAGCUAGUAGGUGAGGUAAUGGCUCACCUAGGCGACGAUACAUAGCCGACCUGAGAGGGUGAUCGGCCACACUGGGACUGAGACACGGCCCAGACUCCUACGGGAGGCAGCAGUAGGGAAUCUUCGGCAAUGGGGGCAACCCUGACCGAGCAACGCCGCGUGAGUGAAGAAGGUUUUCGGAUCGUAAAGCUCUGUUGUAAGUCAAGAACGGGUGUGAGAGUGGAAAGUUCACACUGUGACGGUAGCUUACCAGAAAGGGACGGCUAACUACGUGCCAGCAGCCGCGGUAAUACGUAGGUCCCGAGCGUUGUCCGGAUUUAUUGGGCGUAAAGCGAGCGCAGGCGGUUUGAUAAGUCUGAAGUUAAAGGCUGUGGCUCAACCAUAGUUCGCUUUGGAAACUGUCAAACUUGAGUGCAGAAGGGGAGAGUGGAAUUCCAUGUGUAGCGGUGAAAUGCGUAGAUAUAUGGAGGAACACCGGUGGCGAAAGCGGCUCUCUGGUCUGUAACUGACGCUGAGGCUCGAAAGCGUGGGGAGCGAACAGGAUUAGAUACCCUGGUAGUCCACGCCGUAAACGAUGAGUGCUAGGUGUUGGAUCCUUUCCGGGAUUCAGUGCCGCAGCU
RNAcentral lists this ribosomal RNA (863 nucleotides) under uncultured bacterium. RNAcentral's name for it is "bacterial SSU rRNA". It matches the Rfam family "Bacterial small subunit ribosomal RNA", at positions 8 to 853 of the family's 1533-position model. The record is from RNAcentral.